Hemicordylus capensis (graceful crag lizard) is the source of this 1223-nucleotide long non-coding RNA. RefSeq lists it as uncharacterized. NCBI's taxonomy places the organism in Eukaryota, Metazoa, Chordata, Lepidosauria, Squamata, Cordylidae. The record is from RefSeq and is a predicted model, not a curated record. The transcript is spliced from 4 exons.
GACUAAAGGAGCCAUUUUGUGGCUCAUUUCUGUGGGGGGGGGCAGACUUUCCCCUGUGAUUUUUCACGAUUUGGGGGGGCAUUCCUGAGCACAUGGGGGACCAAUGGAGCAUGCCAGAGUGUACCCGUUGCUAAUCCCAUGUGUGGCAGCUCUUGCGAGAGACCGCGAGCAGCUGCCGGACUAGCAACGGGAAGGGAGAGAAAACAGCGGCCAGGAUGAGGAGGCGGCAGCGGGCCGGCCCAGGCCAGCCUGGCCUGGCCACCCAGAUGAGAAGGCAGCGGCGGGCCGACCCGGCAGCCAGGAUAAGAAGGCACCGGCCUGGCCACCAGGAGGAGGCAGCAGGCAGGAGGAGGGGACGGGACGGCUUGAAAGUCAUCCAGAAGCCGGCCGGGCUGCAGGGAAUAGUCACACCAAUUCUGUAUAACUCUUUGCUGCUGGAACUGUUGUUAAGAGUGAUCACAUUCUGAAGAGUUCAUCCUGCUUCACUGACAAAGAAUGGAAAACUGAAAAUGAAACACUCUUUGAAGGACCACAACUUGCUCUCUAAACCAAAUACUGCUACCAAGUCACAAUCCCACCAAGAAUUUCACUCACACCUCUAACAAUUAAGCACAGAUAUUAGAAGUUUUGUUUGGAAAGAAAUGCAGACUAGAUAUUAUUUCAUAAUGUGAUCCACAUAUUGUUGGUGUUCUGAAGAGAACACACUGGUUCCAUGUUGCUGAGGUUUCUAAGUUUCAAAGACGGUAUUAAUAUGGCCUGACACCUUCCUAGUCUUGGUUUUCAGUUCAACUGUUUCAGUUGCAUUGGGAAGAAUAAUGUAAUGACUUUAAACAGGUGGCCCAGAUGAAUGAGAUAAAGAGCAUAUGGUCUACCAAGCAUCCUCAUAAGAUCUCUUCCCUCUGAGACAGUCUGAGGAUCCCUGGAUUAGGUAGCCAGUUUAAAGAGGGACGACAGCUCAGUGGCAGAGGCCCCGGGUCCAGUUAAAGAUUCUGAAUCGGAAGGGCUAGAAAACACUUCCUGAGACCUUGGAGCACAGGUGCCAAUCAGAUUAGAAAGUACUGGAUCAACUCAGUUAGAUGGGUCAACCCUCAUGCCAGGUUCAGAUGCCAGGCCAUUGUAGCAAACCCCUGAUCAAACACCAUUGCUCAUCCUAGCCUACUUCAUAAGGUUUUCAUGAAGAUGAAAUGGGGAAAGCCCCAUAUAAACCCUCUUGAGCGAUACUU